CUGGGUCGAUAGGCCGGACGUGGAAGCGGGGACGAAAGACCCGUGCAGCUGACCGGUACUAAUCAGCCGACAACUUCAACA
This 81-nucleotide ribosomal RNA is filed under the name Cellulosimicrobium cellulans. RNAcentral describes it as "partial 23S rRNA. Bacterial LSU". Lineage: Bacteria; Bacillati; Actinomycetota; Actinomycetes; Micrococcales; Promicromonosporaceae. The record is from RNAcentral.